UUUGUUGAUAUCAGCUGGUGAUUGAACUUGGGACCUCUAACACCUAUUAUUAUAAACUGAAAGGUAAUGUUGUACCUAUAUAUUUAUGGUUUGUAACGCUUGUUAUGAAUUAUUUCUCUUUAUAUAUUAUCCAAUUGUUUGUACUUAACGUAGUAUUAACAUCAGAUGCAAAACUGUUUGUUGUUCGUGUUUAAAGCUAAGUACUUUGUUAUUUCGUAAUUUUACGUUUUAUUAGUUUUUAUGCCCCAUUUAUGGGCAUUAUGUUUUCUGGUCUGUGCGUCCGUUCGUCCGUCCGUCCGUUCGUCCGUCCGUUCGUUCGUUCGUCCGUCCGUUCGUUCGUUCGUCCGUCUGUCCUGCUUCAGGUUAAAGUUUUUGGUCGAGGUAGUUUUUGAUGAGUUUGAAGUCUAAUCAACUGAAACUAGUACAUAUGUCUGUAUGAUAUGAUAUUUCUAAUUUAAUCCAAAUUAGAGAUUUAACCCCAUUUCACGGUCCACUGAACAUAGAAAAUGAUAGUGCGGAUGGGGCAUCCGUGUACUGGGGACAAAUUCUUGUUAUAAUAAUGUUAAACUAAAACUACAGUGACCAGAUCCAAAAUUUCAAAAUCAAAAUACAAAGGUUAGGUUUUUAACUAUUAUUAUUUUGAUUGCAGCCAUACAGUCCGAAUGACAAUUAAACUCGGUAAAUAUGAGACUUUUCCUCACUUGGUCCCCGUACUAUAAUGGGCAUUAUAUUAUUAAACUUUGCUUUAUAUAUAUACUGAGUGCCAAUGAAAACGCAACACUUUUGUUUUUCAAAAAUCUAUAAUUUAUUUUAUUAUAUUAGACUUUGUAUAAUUGUUGAAAUGCUUUUAAGACAAUUGUCGACAACGGUUGAGGAUUUUUGGAACAAAUGCGAAGUAAGAGUUAUUUUGAACGACAUAAAUCGAGUUCACCGCUUUUCAACAUGCAUUUUCACGAUUUUCAUUUAAACUUGGCUAAUGUCAUAAAUUUUCACGCCCUUAUUGUUAAGAAACUGCAAUUAACAUCUGAGUAAAUGCCAGGACUUUCUGACAUUCAGCGACAUGCAGUUUUGGGCAUGAUCCAAUGAAGCAUUUCACAGCAUACAAUAACGAAAAGACUGAAGUUGUAGCUUCUACAAUAGCCCAAAUCAUUCAUAAAUUCAACCAAAAUGGAUCAUUUAAUGAUAAGCCACAUCCCGGGGUACAAAAAGAAAGAAACGCUCAGCAAGACCGUUACACUUGGUCUUUAACAUAUCCGAUAUCGACUCUGAUCCAAAGGUCACGAGUGUUCAAUGGUGGCCAUGAUAGAACCUUUGGAUCAAUUUCAGAAAAUCACCAUUUGCGCAGAAAUUGUUAAAAAGCACCAGUCUUUCCUUAGUGACAUCUAAACGGCCGUCUGGCGUAAACAUCGAUUCUGUAGACCAAAAUUCAUCAUUAUGUACCAAAAACCGUCAGUGAUGGGUUACAAGACAUUUGACCCGCCUUGGCCCAAAAGUCAUGCUUUUAGCCGGAUUUUGGUCCGAUCGAGCAAAUUUUGCACCAGAUUUGACAUGGUUUAGACGAUGAAAACAAACACCAAUAUCAUAAAGUCAGCUUGACUGUGCUUUUGCGGGACAUGUGGAAUAACAUUCCUUGGGAUCACAUUAAACGUCGGGGAUAAUCAAUUCCACGGCGCUGUCGAGAUUGCGCUGCACCACGGGGUUGUAACAUUUUUUGUUAGGACUGUGAGUUGAUGAUUCGACAUUGGAUGUUUCGUUUACCUAUUGCGCCAGAAAGAUGACAAUGAAACAUUUUUGUUUGAUAUCGAUCUAUUGUUAAGAUUGUUAAUUUUCAAGAACUAUAAUUUAUUUUAAAAGAUUAUCAUUUCUAAUAUAAAUUUUAUUUAUGAAAAAGCAAAUGUUGCGGUUUCAUUGGCGCUCAGUAUAUAUCCCAGUAUAUAUUAUAGUACGUCAAACGCUUUUUUCAUAACAAACAAAUGAGAGAGAGAGAGAGAGAGAGAGAGAGAGAGAGAGAGAGAGAGAGAGAGAGAGAGGCGGAGGAUACCAUAGAGACAUGCAACUCUUACAGAAAAAGAAUUAUGUCGUUAUCUUUUAAGUCACAAUAACUGUUCAAUAUUGUAUGCAUAAUAUAUUAGCGGGAUCUUGCAAAACAAAAAUUAGACUAAAGACACAAAUAUGGGGAGCAAGAAGAAAAAAUAACAAUCAGAUCAAAAUCAAUAGAUUUUCCAGAGAAAACUGACAAAUAGAUCUAAUAAUAUAAGAACAAAUACAUUAGGUUAUUCCACAGAACAGUCAAAAAGUAUUGAAAUAACAAAAAUACCACACUCCAAGGAAAAUUCUAAACGAAAAGUCCUAAAGCAAACGCCAAAAUCAAAACCUCACACAUCAAAAUGGAUAACAACUGUCACAUUACUGAUUUGGUAAAUGCAUUUUCUUAAGUAGAAAUUGGUUGAUUCAGUCAGGUUUUAUUGCUAGCUUAACCUGUCACUUGCAUGAGAGUUGCUAACAGUACUAUUAUAUUGACAACGAUGUGUAAAAAAUUCCAAACAGACAUAAGGAAUUAUUAAAGCUAGCUGAAACUCUCUCUUGUAUAAAAGCGAUACUGAAAUUAAUGCAAUACAAUCUGUUAACAGAUAUAAAGAUAUAAUACAUUGUACAUUGUUGUACAAUAUUAACCAAUGAUUUGAAUUCAAUUUUUAAAAAUGUGAUUUUUUUCAACAGUCAGUCGCAUCAAUUAAUUCGUGUGAAAUUUUAAAAUAAUUUAUCCCCUGUAUUUUAGAUGGCUUCCUCAGAUGUUGUACUGUGUGGUAUCUGUGAUGUUCAGCAUGUUUCACACGUUGCUGAUUACUGGUGUCCUGAAUGUGAUGAAGGUCUGUGUUCGACAUGUAAAAAAUACCACAGCGUAUCAAAGGCUUCCAGACAGCAUGGGAUCAUUUCUAUUGACGACUACAAGAAACUUCCGGCUGAGAUUUGUAAAAUUGAACAGAAUUGUAGAGAGCAUAACCGGAAAUUCCAAAUGUUUUGCCCACGUCAUGACAAACUUUGUUGUCUAAUUUGCAUAUCCGAAAACCACAAAGAAUGCACCGGAAUGUUCCCUAUUGACGAAGCCAUCAAGUCUUCGAGAUCUUCCACUCCACUUUGUUUGACAGUUUGGAAAAGUCACUAAAAGAAAUUCAGGAAAACAUUGAAAGAGUAGUAAAAGAUCGGGAAGC
Molecule: long non-coding RNA, 3209 nt
Filed under: Mytilus galloprovincialis (Mediterranean mussel)
Lineage: Eukaryota; Metazoa; Mollusca; Bivalvia; Mytilida; Mytilidae
Source: RNAcentral